Molecule: long non-coding RNA, 278 nt
Organism: Scaptodrosophila lebanonensis
Lineage: Eukaryota; Metazoa; Arthropoda; Insecta; Diptera; Drosophilidae
Exons: 2
Source: RefSeq, a predicted model, not a curated record
GUUUAGGUAAAACGUCCAUCGAUACUUUUCAAAACUACUAUGAAAUCCAUUGGAGUUAUCUGCCUGCUAUUUGCGCUGAUCAGCACUGCAUUGAGUUGGCCGUUGUAUCCUAUUUGCCGUUUUCCACAUGUUUUACGGCCGUGUAAGCUACCAACUAAAUGGAUAAACGUGAGUGUAUUUCCAAUACGGAGGUACUGACGGAUAUGACAAUAAUUUGAUGUCAGAGGGGUAUACAUUUUAACAAGUACCCUAAUAAAAUCAUUUGAAUUAAAACUACC